GUCCUACGGGAGGCAGCAGUGGGGAAUAUUGCACAAUGGGCGAAAGCCUGAUGCAGCAACGCCGCGUGAGGGACGACGGCCUUCGGGUUGUAAACCUCUUUUAGUAGGGAAGAAGCGAAAGUGACGGUACCUGCAGAAAAAGCACCGGCUAACUACGUGCCAGCAGCCGCGGUAAUACGUAGGGUGCAAGCGUUAUCCGGAAUUAUUGGGCGUAAAGAGCUCGUAGGCGGUCUGUCGCGUCUGCUGUGAAAACUGGAGGCUCAACCUCCAGCCUGCAGUGGGUACGGGCAGACUAGAGUGCGGUAGGGGAGAUUGGAAUUCCUGGUGUAGCGGUGGAAUGCGCAGAUAUCAGGAGGAACACCGAUGGCGAAGGCAGAUCUCUGGGCCGUAACUGACGCUGAGGAGCGAAAGCGUGGGGAGCAAACAGGAUUAGAUACCCUUGUAGUC
RNAcentral lists this ribosomal RNA (447 nucleotides) under uncultured Mycetocola sp. Its description in RNAcentral is "bacterial SSU rRNA". It matches the Rfam family "Bacterial small subunit ribosomal RNA", at positions 335 to 795 of the family's 1533-position model. Lineage: Bacteria; Bacillati; Actinomycetota; Actinomycetes; Micrococcales; Microbacteriaceae. The record is from RNAcentral.